This 200-nucleotide ribosomal RNA is filed under the name Alternaria alternata. Its description in RNAcentral is "partial 28S ribosomal RNA". The record is from RNAcentral. Lineage: Eukaryota; Fungi; Ascomycota; Dothideomycetes; Pleosporales; Pleosporaceae.
GUGAGCGGCACAGCUCAAUUUGAAUCUGGCUCUUUCAGAGUCCGAGUUGUAAUUUGCAGAGGAUGCUUCGGCUGUGGCACCGGUCCAAGUUCCUUGGAACGGGACGUCAGAGAGGGUGAGAAUCCCGUAUGUGAGGCUUGCUCUUGCCGGGUAGAACCUCCUCCACAAACCCAUGUGGUUGGAAACCCACUUCUAUUAAG